This 1238-nucleotide long non-coding RNA is filed under the name Triticum aestivum (bread wheat). RNAcentral's name for it is "long non-coding RNA (TAES_LNC013016)". The record is from RNAcentral. Lineage: Eukaryota; Viridiplantae; Streptophyta; Magnoliopsida; Poales; Poaceae.
UUUUCUUUUUCGCCAUUGCAUAAAAAAAAUCUUUUUUUACCAUGGCAAUGUUUUUGCUUAUAAAGAUGAUUGCAUAUUUAGUAGAAUGUUUUCAUUUUUUAUCUAGCACGACAAAUUUAUUUUUAGAUCUUUUCAAUUUCUUUUCAGAGUAUGGCAAAAUAUGGCCUUUUUAUUCACAACCAAAAGCGGCCUUUCUUAGUCACAGUAGGUCUUAGGAAAACUGGGCUUUAUUUCUCUUUCAAACGCGAAAAAGGCCUGGGGCGAUGGUGUUCGGGCUGGGUUCUUCUCGUCCCGAACGACAUCGUUCGGUCGUUUGCCUCCCCUGUCACGAACGAGUUGUUCGGUCUGGGGCUCUCCCAGACCGAACAGUCGGGAGUUAUCGGGGUCCUUUUCAUUUGCAGAUUAAUCGGCAGCUUCAGACUCGGACACAGCUUGUGAUCCCGGUUCCUUUCAAUUUUUUUGGAAAAGAAGGUUAAACCCUCAGCCUCUGCAUCAAUCGAUGCAUGUAGCCAUCUUUAUUAAUUACUAGGAAAAUGGCCCGUGCGUUGCAACGGGAAUACAAUCAUCCCCUGAUUGAUAACUUUUUUGCCUUACCAGGGAUCUAUCCUAGCCCCGCAAUGAAGCCUGACUAUCACCACGAUGAUAGGGCAUGACAGUCUGUCUCGAGAAGGUCCUCGGAAUCGGAUAGACCUAAUGCGACCAUGGCCUCCUACUACACAUCUGCCCAACACGUGAGCGUGCGGUGGCAUGAGGCAGGUUUCCUUGCCAAGGCCCAGCUGCAUGAGCAUCUGAUCUAGGGCAUCCGCCCUUGCAGUGUUAGUCGAGGUCGGCGGCCGGCGUCAUUGCGUGUGCGUUGCUAUCGGAAAAAAAUGUGUCUAAAGUUUUUAUCUUGCAGACUAUAUCUAAAGGGGAGAUUCAAAAGAGAACGAUGUGGCUCACGUACCCAGGUCAUUGUAUCUGAAGUUUCUAUUUAUUCAGGAUGGCGUAGGAACACAUUCAAUAACGAAGUAUAAUCUAAUUAGUAGCAAGGCACUCGGUAUCAUCAGUUUGUGUUUUUCUCCAAGUAGCAUAGAAACACAUCCCAUAACCAUAAUAUAAUACUGGACGGAGGGAGUAUGUGGUAAUAGGCAAUUAGUUUGGUUACUAUCAAUUCUCUAUGUUGUUCUUACCUUAUACAACAUGAACAUUUUUUACGGCUUCAGUAGAUGAUGACCUUUUUUUAGAUAAUGAUACUUGGG